GGUUAAGCGACUAAGCGUACACGGUGGAUGCCCUGGCAGUCAGAGGCGAUGAAGGACGUGCUAAUCUGCGAAAAGCGCCGGCGAGGUGAUAUGAACCUUUGACCCGGCGAUGUCCGAAUGGGGAAACCCAGUGUGAUUCGUCACACUAUCGUUAACUGAAUACAUAGGUUAACGAGGCGAACCGGGGGAACUGAAACAUCUAAGUACCCCGAGGAAAAGAAAUCAACCGAGAUUCCCCCAGUAGCGGCGAGCGAACGGGGAGCAGCCCAGAGUCUGAAUCAGCUUGUGUGUUAGUGGAAGCGUCUGGAAAGUCGCACGGUACAGGGUGACAGUCCCGUACACGAAAAUGCACAGGUUGUGAACUCGAAGAGUAGGGCGGGACACGUGGUAUCCUGUCUGAAUAUGGGGGGACCAUCCUCCAAGGCUAAAUACUCCUGACUGACCGAUAGUGAACCAGUACCGUGAGGGAAAGGCGAAAAGAACCCCGGCGAGGGGAGUGAAAAAGAACCUGAAACCGUGUACGUACAAGCAGUGGGAGCACCUUCGUGGUGUGACUGCGUACCUUUUGUAUAAUGGGUCAGCGACUUAUAUUCUGUAGCAAGGUUAACCGUAUAGGGGAGCCGAAGGGAAACCGAGUCUUAACUGGGCGUUAAGUUGCAGGGUAUAGACCCGAAACCCGGUGAUCUAGCCAUGGGCAGGUUGAAGGUUGGGUAACACUAACUGGAGGACCGAACCGACUAAUGUUGAAAAAUUAGCGGAUGACUUGUGGCUGGGGGUGAAAGGCCAAUCAAACCGGGAGAUAGCUGGUUCUCCCCGAAAGCUAUUUAGGUAGCGCCUCGUGAACUCAUCUUCGGGGGUAGAGCACUGUUUCGGCUAGGGGGCCAUCCCGGCUUACCAACCCGAUGCAAACUACGAAUACCGAAGAAUGUUAUCACGGGAGACACACGGCGGGUGCUAACGUCCGUCGUGAAGAGGGAAACAACCCAGACCGCCAGCUAAGGUCCCAAAGUCAUGGUUAAGUGGGAAACGAUGUGGGAAGGCACAGACAGCCAGGAUGUUGGCUUAGAAGCAGCCAUCAUUUAAAGAAAGCGUAAUAGCUCACUGGUCGAGUCGGCCUGCGCGGAAGAUGUAACGGGGCUAAACCAUGCACCGAAGCUGCGGCAGCGACACUAUGUGUUGUUGGGUAGGGGAGCGUUCUGUAAGCCGUUGAAGGUGUGCUGUGAGGCAUGCUGGAGGUAUCAGAAGUGCGAAUGCUGACAUAAGUAACGAUAAAGCGGGUGAAAAGCCCGCUCGCCGGAAGACCAAGGGUUCCUGUCCAACGUUAAUCGGGGCAGGGUGAGUCGACCCCUAAGGCGAGGCCGAAAGGCGUAGUCGAUGGGAAACAGGUUAAUAUUCCUGUACUUGGUGUUACUGCGAAGGGGGGACGGAGAAGGCUAUGUUAGCCGGGCGACGGUUGUCCCGGUUUAAGCAUGUAGGCGGAACGAUUAGGUAAAUCCGGUCGUUUUUUAACGCUGAGGUGUGAUGACGAGGCACUACGGUGCUGAAGUAACAAAUGCCCUGCUUCCAGGAAAAGCCUCUAAGCAUCAGGUAACAUCAAAUCGUACCCCAAACCGACACAGGUGGUCAGGUAGAGAAUACCAAGGCGCUUGAGAGAACUCGGGUGAAGGAACUAGGCAAAAUGGUGCCGUAACUUCGGGAGAAGGCACGCUGAUAUGUAGGUGAAGCCCCUGCGGGUGGAGCUGAAAUCAGUCGAAGAUACCAGCUGGCUGCAACUGUUUAUUAAAAACACAGCACUGUGCAAACACGAAAGUGGACGUAUACGGUGUGACGCCUGCCCGGUGCCGGAAGGUUAAUUGAUGGGGUUAGCGGCAACGCGAAGCUCUUGAUCGAAGCCCCGGUAAACGGCGGCCGUAACUAUAACGGUCCUAAGGUAGCGAAAUUCCUUGUCGGGUAAGUUCCGACCUGCACGAAUGGCGUAAUGAUGGCCAGGCUGUCUCCACCCGAGACUCAGUGAAAUUGAACUCGCUGUGAAGAUGCAGUGUACCCGCGGCAAGACGGAAAGACCCCGUGAACCUUUACUAUAGCUUGACACUGAACACUGGUCCUUGAUGUGUAGGAUAGGUGGGAGGCUUUGAAGUGUGGACGCCAGUCUGCAUGGAGCCGUCCUUGAAAUACCACCCUUUAAUGGCUGGUGUUCUAACGUAGACCCGUGAUCCGGGUUGCGGACAGUGUCUGGUGGGUAGUUUGACUGGGGCGGUCUCCUCCCAAAGAGUAACGGAGGAGCACGAAGGUUAGCUAAUCCUGGUCGGACAUCAGGAGGUUAGUGCAAUGGCAUAAGCUAGCUUGACUGCGAGAGUGACGGCUCGAGCAGGUGCGAAAGCAGGUCAUAGUGAUCCGGUGGUUCUGAAUGGAAGGGCCAUCGCUCAACGGAUAAAAGGUACUCCGGGGAUAACAGGCUGAUACCGCCCAAGAGUUCAUAUCGACGGCGGUGUUUGGCACCUCGAUGUCGGCUCAUCACAUCCUGGGGCUGAAGUAGGUCCCAAGGGUAUGGCUGUUCGCCAUUUAAAGUGGUACGCGAGCUGGGUUUAGAACGUCGUGAGACAGUUCGGUCCCUAUCUGCCGUGGGCGCUGGAGAAUUGAGGGGGGCUGCUCCUAGUACGAGAGGACCGGAGUGGACGCAUCACUGGUGUUCGGGUUGUCAUGCCAAUGGCACUGCCCGGUAGCUAAAUGCGGAAAAGAUAAGUGCUGAAAGCAUCUAAGCACGAAACUUGCCCCGAGAUGAGUUCUCCCUGAGACUUUAAGUCUCCUGAAGGAACGUUGAAGACGACGACGUUGAUAGGUCGGGUGUGUAAGCGCAGCGAUGCGUUGAGCUAACCGAUACUAAUGAACCGUGAGGCUUAACCUU
Molecule: ribosomal RNA, 2905 nt
Filed under: Enterobacter roggenkampii
Lineage: Bacteria; Pseudomonadati; Pseudomonadota; Gammaproteobacteria; Enterobacterales; Enterobacteriaceae
Description: 23S ribosomal RNA
Rfam family: Bacterial large subunit ribosomal RNA
Source: RNAcentral